GAUGAACGCUGGCGGCGUGCCUAAUACAUGCCAGUCGAGCGAACAGACGAGGAGCUUGCUCCUCUGACGUUAGCGGCGGACGGGUGAGUAACACGUGGAUAACCUACCUAUAAGACUGGGAUAACUUCGGGAAACCGGAGCUAAUACCGGAUAAUAUAUUGAACCGCAUGGUUCAAUAGUGAAAGACGGUUUUGCUGUCACUUAUAGAUGGUUCCGCGCCGCAUUAGCUAGUUGGUAAGGUAACGGCUUACCAAGGCAACGAUGCGUAGCCGACCUGAGAGGGUGAUCGGCCACACUGGAACGGAGACACGGUCCAGACUCCUACGGGAGGCAGCAGUAGGGAAUCUUCCGCAAUGGGCGAAAGCAUGACGGAGCAACGCCGCGUGAGUGAUGAAGGUCUUCGGAUCGUAAAACUCUGUUAUUAGGGAAGAACAAAUGUGUAAGUAACUAUGCACGUCUUGACGGUACCUAAUCAGAAAGCCACGGCUAACUACGUG
RNAcentral lists this ribosomal RNA (497 nucleotides) under uncultured bacterium. Its description in RNAcentral is "partial 16S ribosomal RNA". It matches the Rfam family "Bacterial small subunit ribosomal RNA", at positions 28 to 507 of the family's 1533-position model. The record is from RNAcentral.